AUAAUUUUUAAGAAGUAUUAACUCUUGUUUUUCUAAAACCUAGAUCUUGGGACAUACUAAAAGGAAAGAAAAUGUUCAAUAGCAAUGAUGUUUUAUAAUUUCAUGGGGACAAGAACUUGGGAUCCACCAAAAGGAGGACAUGAAAAGGGCUGUAACACGUUCUUGGCCAGAUUGCUGAGCUCUGGAUGGUGACAUGCUCCUGUUUGCUGGACCAGAAGUAAAGUGCAGCCACCCUUUGCGGGGCCCAGGCCUCAGGAUUUUCCAAGCCAGAGUUUAAACACGAUAGCCUUCGUGCUCCAGUGACACGAAGUGGUGGAGAGGAGCCCGGGAGACACUGGACAGAGCAAAGCAUGGGACUGAAGGAGCUGAAACAUGUCCCUGCCCAUUUGCAGAGCUGUGGGUGGUGGGAAUGAGAGAGUUGUAGCACACCCCCCAACCCUAGGAGCUCUGCAGCUGUUGGCGUCUCCAAGUUUUCUGGGACCAUGGCAUUCCCCUUUUCCUGACCGGAUGCUGGCACCUGCAGCAGAAGUGGCUUGUUGUACGCCUAGUCCAGCUACUGCCUCGCAUGGAGCCGGUGCCUGUGACAGUACCUGGAGCUGCCCACCCUGCCACAGCAGUUGGCAUGCCUGGCUGUGUGCAGUAGCCCUGCACUCACUCGCUCACACAUCCCUCAUUCCUCUGCACCUGGCUGGCCCUUGGCAGGCAUGGGAUCCAGGCUGGUAGUACAAGCAGAGCACUGCCUGCCAGUCCCAAUAGGUGGAACAAGCCCAGUGGGCAUGAGGGAAACUCAGGCAGAGACACUGACAGCCACAGAGGUUUCCAGCUGGCAAAGCAACACCUAAAGGAUCCUGUGACAUCGUCAUAACCUAAAGUCCGUAGUUUACAUUACAGCUCACUCUUGGCAUUAUUUAUGCUAUGGGUUUUGAAAAAUAUAUAGUGAUGUGUAUCCACAAUGUACAGAAAAGUUUCACUUCCCCAGAAAUCCUCUUUGUUCUUCCUAUUCAUCUCUCCCUCUCCCUUAAUUCCUGGGAACUGCUUAUCUUUUUACUCUCUUCAUAGUUUUGCCUUUUCUAGAAUGAUAUGGUUGAAAUCAUACAGUACAAAGCCUUUCAGACUGGCUUUUUUCUUUUAGUAAUAUGCAUUUAAGAUAUUGUUUUAUGUCUUUUUAUAGUUUGGUAGUUCAUUUAUUUUUCAGCACUGAAUAGUAUUCUAUUGUCUGGAUGUACCGUAGUUUAUCAACUCAUCUACUAAAGAACAUCUUGGUUGCUUGGUUGCUUUCAAAUUUUGUCAAUUAUGACUAAAGCUGCUAUCAAUAUUUACAUACAGUUUUUGUGUGGAUAUAAGUUUUCAAUUCAUUUGGGUAAAUAUUAUAGAAUGUGGUAGUUGGAUCAUAUGGUAUUAAUAUGUUUUAUUUGUAUAAGAAAAUACCAAACUCACUUCCAACGUGGUUAUACUAUUUGGUAUUCCCACCAGAAAUAAAUGAGACUUCCAUCUUGUUCACAUGCUUGCCAUCAUUUGGUGUUUUCAGUGUUUUAGAUUUUGCCUAUUUCAACAGAAGUGUAGUGGUAUCUAAUUAUUAUUUUAAUUUUAAUAUUUUAUUUUCUAAUGACACAUGAUUUUUAACAUUUUUUCAUUUUCAUACUUGCCAUUUGUGUAUUUUCAUUGGUGAAAUAUGUGUACAGAUCCCUUGCCCAGUUUUUAAAAUCAGUUUGUUUUCUUAAUUUUGAGUUACUUUGUAUAUUUUGGAUACUGCACCUUUAUCAAUAUAUGUUUGUAAUUAUAUUAUCCUAAUCUUUGUGACAUAUAGUCAUAUACAGGGCAACAGUUUUAAAUUUUAAUGAAGUCCAGGUUAUCAAUUCUUUUUUUCGUGGAUGAUGCUGAUUAUGUUGUAUCUAAAAAGUCAUCACCAUAUCCCAGGUUAUCAAGGUUUUCUCCUAUGUAAUCUUCAAAGAGUUUGAGUUUUGGCUCUUACAUUUGUGUCUGUAAUCUAUUUUGAGUUAAUUAUUGUAAAUAUUGUGAGAUCUGUGUCUAGAUUAUUUGUUUGUUUGCAUGUAAUGUCUAAAAUCCAUUGUUUUACCAUCGAUUGAAAAGACUAUCUCUGCUUCAUUGCAUUGCUUUUGUUUCUUUGUCAAAGAUCAAUUAGUUGAUUAUAAGUAUGUGGGUCUCCUUCUGAACUCUUUAUUCUAAUGUAUUAAUCUAUUUGUCUAUUCUUUCAUCAUUGCCACGUCUUGAUUAUUGUAACAUUAUAGUUUGUCUUUAAGUUAGAGAGAGUCCUCUAGUUUUGUUCUUUUCCUUCAAUACUGACUUGUUAGUCUGGAUAUUUUACCUUCCCAUAUAAUCUGGAAUUGGCUUGUUGAUAUGCACAAAAUAACCUGCUGGAAUUUUGAUGAAAAUUAUGUUAAAUCUAUAUAUUGAGAUGGGAAAACUGACAUAUUGGUAAUGUUUUUCUUUCCUACCCAUGAACGUAGAGUAUUUCUCCAUUUAUUUACUUUUUCCUUGUUAUCUUUCAUCGGAGGUUUAUAGUUCUCCUCAUAUAAUUUUGAACAUAUUUGGUUUAUACCUAAGUAUUUCAUUUUUGAGGUGCUAAUUUAAAUGGUA
Molecule: long non-coding RNA, 2598 nt
Filed under: Homo sapiens (human)
Lineage: Eukaryota; Metazoa; Chordata; Mammalia; Primates; Hominidae
Description: HSALNT0063461
Source: RNAcentral